CGAUUCUCAGGCAAGAGGAGAUUAUCAGCCGGAUUCCCGUGCGGGGACGUAGGGGUUGCGUUGUUCAGCGGCCAGGGAUGCGCCGAGGCGAUGUCUCCUCCCUUUACAACCCGAGUAUCGGGGCACGAGGAGGCGCGACCUUCCUGGGUACCCAAACCUCUGGCCUCCGGGAGACGCGGAAUUCGGGGGAUCGUUAAGGCGCCCUGGCCAGGGAAACAGAUGCUUCUGCGUCUGGGCUGAAAAUUGCUGAACCGGGGAAUGUGGGUGGGCGGGUGGCAUUGAACUUAGGCCAGAAGAGGGGGCUUUGGUAGGUUUUUACCUGCCUGUCCUUAGGCGGAGGACACUGGCUGGACAGGCUGCGUUACACACCUGAAGUCUCAUCCACGCAAAGUGCUUUCAGAAGUGGCUCCCUUCGCCGCAACUCCACACCUCGGGGUAACCGUAGAGAUUGGCAGCAAUGCCCCAGCCCCUCACCAGCACUGUGCAAAGUGACUUUGACAGGCAGAGAAAAGCCAACCCAGUCGAAUUCGUCUGGAAAGCAUUCCAGCAACCCAGAGAG
RNAcentral lists this long non-coding RNA (559 nucleotides) under Homo sapiens (human). Its description in RNAcentral is "long non-coding RNA NONHSAT195338.1". The record is from RNAcentral. Lineage: Eukaryota; Metazoa; Chordata; Mammalia; Primates; Hominidae.